RNAcentral lists this ribosomal RNA (329 nucleotides) under uncultured eukaryote. RNAcentral's name for it is "partial 18S ribosomal RNA". It matches the Rfam family "Eukaryotic small subunit ribosomal RNA", at positions 1470 to 1796 of the family's 1831-position model. The record is from RNAcentral.
CCCUUAGAUGUUCUGGGCCGCACGCGCGCUACACUGAUGCAUUCAACGAGUCUAAAACCUGCUCUGAUAGGGGUGGGUAAUCUUUUGAAUGUGCAUCGUGAUUGGGAUAGAUGAUUGCAAUUCUUCAUCUUCAACGAGGAAUGCCUAGUAAACGCAAGUCAUCAGCUUGCAUUGAUUACGUCCCUGCCCUUUGUACACACCGCCCGUCGCUCCUACCGAUUGAAUGAUCCGAUGAAUAUCAUGGAUUGAGGAUGCAAGUAGGUUCGCCUAUCUUCAUCUUCGAGAAGUGAAGUAAAUCUUAUCAUUUAGAGGAAGGAGAAGUCGUAACA